AAUAAAAAGCCUUCUUAUGGAUCCAUCAUCAUCGCCCAGAGGAAACAGAUCAGAGAUAAUUACGAGAGGCCCUUUUGUUCAAUUUCCAUGUUUCUUCCUUCUCUCCCAUCAUCCCUCACCUCUGUGUCUGUGUUUCGCCCUAGAUUUCAUUUCCUCAAUCUCCCCGAAACUUAGAAUUCUUCGUCUUGCUGAUGAAUAUGGUGAUAUUCUUCUCUCAAUUCUCAAGUUGUUGGUCUGAGAGCUUGAAGCUGCCAGCAUGAUCUGGUAAUUAACCAACCACACUACUUCUAUAUUUAUAUAUAUAAAACAUACCUCUUGUCUAUAUACAUCAAUCAGUAUAUAUAUAUAUAUAGUGAAGAUUCGUUCCACUGGUGGAUUUUAGAGUUUGUAUUAGUCUUGAUUCAGUCCAGAGAUUAAUUUGGCCAUUGAUUUCUGAAAAUAAACGAGCAAUUCUUGUUGUAUAACGAAAAGGGUUAUGUAUAGAUCUCGUUAAUAACCUAGAUUUGGUUCUUUUCUUUUUUCUUUGAGAAGGGGGGAGAGGGGGAAUUUUGAGGGUUAAUUAAUCGAUUUUAGAUUCACUGAAAUUAUAUUUGUCAUUGAGAUUACUGGGAAGGGUAUAGCUUCAAGAAGAGGAGGACACAGUAAUUCAAAAUAUUUGGAAGGAUUUUAAUAAGUCAUUUGUUAUUAUGAAGAAGAAAAGAUAAUUAAAGAAACUUAACGAAAUAAAUUAAACUAAGAAAUGGUUCUGGUGAUGUAUCUCUAAUCUUUAAUUAAAAUAAUUCGGGAAAAAUACUACAUCCACAUCUUCUUUCUCCAUAACCACAAACCGAAUGACUUUUCUGUUUUUUGGCCCUUUGAAGUGAUCCCCAUUGAGAGGCAAGCUAAUUUCACAGAAUUAAUUAGAAUGAAUUAAAUCCUUAUAAAACCUCAAAAGAACAAAUCAAACCAGCUGGUAAUUAUUGAGAUCGAUGAGGUUCUAUCAGGUCAUCUUGCAGCUUCAAUCACUCAAAUACCGACAGAUCCAUUUCUCAACUUUCUGAGUUCUCUGGGAUUGUUCUCAAGCCCUGAAUCCAUUAAUUAUUUCAGGGCCGUCUUCCUUCCCCCCCCCCUCUUAUUACCAGUACAAUUGAUCUGAAACAGACUAAUUAAUUAACACAAUUAAAGACCAGGAGCUUAUCAUCUACGUACGUACCUUGCCUGCAUUAAUGGGACAUGUACUGCCUCAAGCCAACAUGGUGCCAUCUCUGCAAGCUUCUGAUGAAGAUAAGGGAUGAGGAGAAGACAAGAAUACAUAAGCAAAGAGACAAAAGGUAUUGUAAACAUUAGAAAAUAUAUUAAUGUGCCAAGGCCUUCGGUUGACUAGUUACAAUGAAAGAAAUGUAAGAUAACCGACGCCUCGCAAAAUAUUACAGAUUACUUACAUCUUUUCUUUAUCAAAACUAGAAAUUUGAUUAAAUUUGGUUAAAUUUUAAAUUCCAAUAAA
Molecule: long non-coding RNA, 1483 nt
Organism: Neltuma alba
Lineage: Eukaryota; Viridiplantae; Streptophyta; Magnoliopsida; Fabales; Fabaceae
Exons: 2
Source: RefSeq, a predicted model, not a curated record